Molecule: ribosomal RNA, 224 nt
Filed under: uncultured Glomeromycotina
Lineage: Eukaryota; Fungi; Glomeromycota
Description: partial 28S ribosomal RNA
Source: RNAcentral
AAAAUGGCUGGAGGAAUGUAGCUUCGAUUUCGAUUGAAGUGUUAUAGCUUCGGCAGAUGUGAUGAUCGGGAUUGAGGAUUGCAACGGAUACCCUUCGGGGCUACCUUCUGAUCUCUGAUCGUUGCUCUGGUGCCGAAAGCGUGCUUACGGUUAUCAAAGUCGAUGUCAAUAGGUUAGAACGUGAUUAUAUUCGUUAAGGAUGUUGACGUAAUGGCUUUAAACGA